RNAcentral lists this ribosomal RNA (660 nucleotides) under uncultured bacterium. RNAcentral's name for it is "bacterial SSU rRNA". It matches the Rfam family "Bacterial small subunit ribosomal RNA", at positions 94 to 788 of the family's 1533-position model. The record is from RNAcentral.
AGUGGCGGACAGGUGAGUAACGCGUGAGAAUCUGCCUUGGGGUCGGGGACAACCACUGGAAACGGUGGCUAAUACCGGAUAAGCCGAUUGGUGAAAGAUUUAUUGCCCGAAGAGGAGCUCGCGUCUGAUUAGCUAGUUGGUGAGGUAAGAGCUCACCAAGGCAGCGAUCAGUAGCUGGUCUGAGAGGACGAUCAGCCACACUGGGACUGAGACACGGCCCAGACUCCUACGGGAGGCAGCAGUGGGGAAUUUUCCGCAAUGGGCGAAAGCCUGACGGAGCAAGACCGCGUGAGGGAGGAAGGCUCUUGGGUUGUAAACCUCUUUUCUCAGGGAAGAAGCUCUGACGGUACCUGAGGAAUCAGCCUCGGCUAACUCCGUGCCAGCAGCCGCGGUAAUACGGAGGAGGCAAGCGUUAUCCGGAAUUAUUGGGCGUAAAGCGUCCGCAGGUGGCGAUUCAAGUCUGCUGUCAAAGCACGGGGCUUAACUCCGUAAAGGCAGUGGAAACUGAAUAGCUAGAGUGCCGUAGGGGUAGAGGGAAUUCCCGGUGUAGCGGUGAAAUGCGUAGAGAUCGGGAAGAACAUCGGUGGCGAAAGCGCUCUACUGGACGGCAACUGACACUCAGGGACGAAAGCUAGGGGAGCGAAUAGGAUUAGAUACCCC